GAAGCUGGCACCUCCGGUGUCCGCGUUGUAAUCUCGAGACGUGUUUUCCGUGCGGCUCUAUGGACAAGUCCCUUGGAAAUAGGGCAUCGUAGAGGGUGAGAAUCCCGUACUUGCCAUGGAAGAACCGUGCUUUGCGAUACACGCUCUAAGAGUCGAGUUGUUUGGGAUUGCAGCUCAAAAUGGGUGGUAGACUCCAUCUAAAGCUAAAUAUCGGGGAGAGACCGAUAGCGAACAAGUACCGUGAGGGAAAGAUGAAAAGCACUUUGGAAAGAGAGUUAAAAGUACGUGAAAUUGUCGAAAGGGAAGCACUUGAAGUCAGCCAUGCUGCUUGAGACUCAGCCUGGCCUUUGGGCUUGGUGUAUUUCUCGGUGGCAAGCCAGCAUUGGUUUGGGUCGUCGGAGAAGCGCAUAGGGAAUGUAGCGUCUCCGGACGUGUUAUAGCCUUAUGCAGGAUACGACGACCUGGAUCAAGGAACGCAGUGUGCC
RNAcentral lists this ribosomal RNA (485 nucleotides) under Malassezia globosa. Its description in RNAcentral is "partial large subunit ribosomal RNA". It matches the Rfam family "Eukaryotic large subunit ribosomal RNA", at positions 118 to 604 of the family's 3401-position model. The record is from RNAcentral. Lineage: Eukaryota; Fungi; Basidiomycota; Malasseziomycetes; Malasseziales; Malasseziaceae.